RNAcentral lists this small RNA (2782 nucleotides) under Pongo abelii (Sumatran orangutan). RNAcentral's name for it is "retained intron". The record is from RNAcentral. Lineage: Eukaryota; Metazoa; Chordata; Mammalia; Primates; Hominidae.
GCCUCAGUCGGCCCCCUGGCUUCAAGACACAUCAAGGUCCCUGCUACCCGAGCCAAGGACACUUCUCCCCCAGUGGUUCCCCACCCUGCUCCCAGCAAGACUCCUUGUCACGGGUGGUCUUGCAUAGCUGGAGCCCAUAGUGCAGCAGGUGCUGGCUGAGGAGCCCCUGGCUCCACACUGCCCCACUCCUGACCGGGGUGAUGCACUGGAGGAGGGCUUGGACCUCAGCUCCUCCCCCAACGCUCCCGACCACUUCCAGGGACUAUCCCCAAGCUGGCCAGCACCCCGGGGCCCCAAGAGGAGUGUUUGGGGUGCUUCCUCUUGGCUGCAGUGGGAAACAGGUGUGCCUUCCUAGGAACUGGGCCCUGACUACUUCCAGCCCAACACUCCCGGGCCUGUGAACUGUGACCUGUGUGCCGGGAUGGGUUUUGUGGGUCUGCCCCAUCCCCCCACUGCUGGAUCUGGCCAAGUGGGUGAAGGCUAAGGCCAGUCAGAGUUGAGUCUCUGCCUUGUCCCCUCUCCUGGGCUAGAUGCCACACCAGGCCCAGUGACUCAUAGGGCAGGCAGUUGGGAAAUACCAGGCAGAGGGCAGGUCCUGGUCUCAGCUGGCCAGCCUCUGCUGUCUGCCAUCCCAGGGGAGGUGGCCAAAGUCCCAACUGUGAGCCAGGCCCCAUAUUCACUGGGCCUCCUCCAGGGUCUGUAUGCCAUGGAACCCUGGACAUGGGGCUAUGAAGGAAGGUGGGUGUUGGUAAGCCCAGGAGCACGGGCCCCUAACCUUGGCCCUGUGCCCCAGGUGAGGCUGGUGCCAAGUUCAUUGAGGUAUCUAAAGAGGCCCGGAAGCGGUUCCUGGGCCCCCUGCACCCCUCCUUCAACCUGGUAAAGAUCAUCCGCAGUUUCCUGCUGAAGGUCCUGCCUGCUGAUAGCCAUGAGCAUGCCAGUGGGCGCCUGGGCAUCUCCCUGACCCGCGUGUCGGACGGCGAGAAUGUCAUUAUAUCCCACUUCAACUCCAAGGACGAGCUCAUCCAGGCCAACGUCUGCAGCGGUUUCAUCCCCGUGUACUGUGGGCUCAUCCCUCCCUCCCUCCAGGGGGUGCGCUACGUGGAUGGUGGCAUUUCAGACAACCUGCCACUCUAUGAGCUUAAGAACACCAUCACAGUGUCCCCCUUCUCGGGCGAGAGUGACAUCUGUCCGCAGGACAGCUCCACCAACAUCCACGAGCUGCGGGUCACCAACACCAGCAUCCAGUUCAACCUGCGCAACCUCUACCGCCUCUCUAAGGCCCUCUUCCCGCCGGAGCCCCUGGUGCUGCGAGAGAUGUGCAAGCAGGGGUACCGGGAUGGCCUGCGCUUCCUGCAGCGGAACGGUGCGCGGACCCGGGCGGGAGAGGGCGGGGUGGGCUUGGCUCUGCUGCCCCCGCUUCCUGCGGCGGAACGAUGCGCGGACCCGGGCGGGAGAGGGAGGGGUGAGCUCGGCUCUGCUACCCCUUGCGGGCCGCGGCCGCGCUGAUGAACUGGGAAUCCCUUCUCUCCCCCACCCCAGGCCUCCUGAACCGGCCCAACCCCUUGCUGGCGUUGCCCCCCUCCCGCCCCCAAGGCCCAGAGGACGAGGACGAGGCAGUGGAGAGCGCCCAAGCGGAGGAUUACUCGCAGCUGCCCGGAGAAGAUCACAUCCUGGAGCACCUGCCCGCCCGGCUCAAUGAGGGUGCGCACCUCGGGACGGGAGGGGAGGAGGGAAAGAGAGAGGAGAGGACGAUGAGCGGGGGAGGGAAGCCGAGCGGGUCCUGGGCUCCGCUGCCUCCACUGGCCGCCGACCUCUCGCCCACCCGCAGCCCUGCUGGAGGCCUGCGUGGAGCCCACGGACCUGCUGACCACCCUCUCCAACAUGCUGCCCGUGCGUCUGGCCACGGCCAUGAUGGUGCCCUACACGCUGCCGCUGGAGAGCGCUCUGUCCUUCACCAUCCGCUUGCUGGAGUGGCUGCCCGACGUUCCCGAGGACAUCCGGUGGAUGAAGGAGCAGACGGGCAGCAUCUGCCAGUACCUGGUGAUGCGCGCCAAGAGGAAGCUGGGCAGGCACCUGCCCUCUAGGCUGCCGGAGCAGGUGGAGCUGCGCCGCGUCCAGUCGCUGCCGUCCGUGCCGCUGUCCUGCGCCGCCUACAGCGAGGCACUGCCCGGCUGGAUGCGCAACAACCUCUCGCUGGGGGAGGCGCUGGCGAAGUGGGAGGAGUGCCAGCGCCAGCUGCUGCUCGGCCUCUUCUGCACCAACGUGGCCUUCCCGCCCGAAGCUCUGCGCAUGCGCGCCCCCGCCGACCGCGCCCCCGCCGACCCCGCCCCCGCGGACCCAGCGUCCCCGCAGCACCCGCCGGGCCUGCCCCCUUGCUGAGCACCCCUGCUCCCGAGGCCAGGCCCGUGAUCGGGGCCCUGGGGCUGCGAGACCCCGACCCUCUCGAGGAACCCUGCCUGAGAUGCCUCCAUUACCACUGCGCAGUGAGAUGAGGAGACUCACAGUUGCCAAGAGGGGCCUUUGCCGUGGGCACCCUCGCCAGCCACUCACCAGCUGCACUGAGAGGGGAGGUUUCCACACCUCUCCCCUGGGCCGCUGAGGCCCCGCGCACCUGUGCCUUGAUCUUCCCUCCCCUGUGCUGCCCGAGCACCUCCCCCGCCCCUUUACUCCCGAGAACUUUGCAGCUGCCCUUCCCUCCCCAUUUUUCAUGCCCUGCAGAAAUAGGUGUGUGAAGAAUUAUUUAUUUUUGCCAAAGCACAUGUAAUAAAUGCUGCAGCCCAGC